Molecule: long non-coding RNA, 374 nt
Organism: Peromyscus maniculatus bairdii (prairie deer mouse)
Lineage: Eukaryota; Metazoa; Chordata; Mammalia; Rodentia; Cricetidae
Source: RefSeq, a predicted model, not a curated record
CCUCCCCCAUCCCAACUGCCGCAGCUGGGAACGCUUGUCUCACCUUGACAGAACAUGGUGUUUUUAAGUAUGUACACAUUAUGGAGCGGCUGUAUCCAGCUAGCUGACGUGAAUCUCCCCAGAGCUGUCAUUGUGGAGUCAAAACAAUUCUCCUGUUAGAAGAAUGGCCGAUCUCGAAUGCAAUACCACAGUAUGAGCUGACCUGAUACCACCAUCUGGUAGACCACAGACACCCCCUUUACCACAUAUGUCACUCAUACUGAUAUUUUCUUAAUUCCUCUCUCCUCCACCUAAGAACCUUCAAAAGGUAAGAGCUGGACUCCCACACAAGGCCAGCCUGGUCUACAGAAUGAGUUCCAGGACAGUCAGAGGAG